GGGUGUAUAGCUCAGUGGUAGAGCACUAGUCUAGCAAGCUAGAGGCUCUGGAUUCAAUUCCCAGCACAGUCA
This is a non-coding RNA of Ictidomys tridecemlineatus (thirteen-lined ground squirrel), 72 nucleotides long. The record is from Rfam. NCBI's taxonomy places the organism in Eukaryota, Metazoa, Chordata, Mammalia, Rodentia, Sciuridae.